GCCUAACGGCUGAACUGGCAACUUGGAGAAGUGGCAAGUCUUCCAGUAUGGGGAGCAAAACAGCUAUGGGUCAAGUCCGAUAUCUUUAGGAGAAGUCUUAUUGUGAGGGCGAGUUAUAUAACACCAUAGGACUGGCCGUCCCAUAUGAAAAGAUUAUAUUAGAAUUGAAUGAAGCUUUGUUUAUAUAUUGAUAAUGACAGUAUAUAUAUCGUGUCUUGACUAAUUGCGUGCCAGCAGUCGCGGUAAUACGUAAGAGACUAGUGUUAUUCAUCUUAAUUAGGUUUAAAGGGUACCCAGACGGUCAAUAUAGCUUAUAAAAUGUUAGUACUUGACUAGAGUUUUAUGUAAGAGGGCAGUACUUGAGGAGGAGAGAUGAAAUUUCGUGAUACCAAAGGGACUCUGUAAAGGCGAAGGCAGCCCUCUAUGUAAAAACUGACGUUGAAGGACGAAGGCACAGAGAACAAACAGGAUUAGAUACCCAAGUAGUCUNUGCAGUAAAUGAUGAAUGCCAUAGGUUAGAUUGAUCAAUUAUAGUCUAGGGUUAGUCUAGCAAACUAAUGCCCUAUGAUAUAAUUCAAAAUAUCUGGUCUAUAAAUGAAAGUGUAAGCAUUUCACCUCAAGAGUAAUGUGGCAACGCAGGAACUGAAAUCACUAGACCGUUUCUGACACCAGUAGUGAAG
RNAcentral lists this ribosomal RNA (680 nucleotides) under Fusarium oxysporum f. sp. lini. Its description in RNAcentral is "SSU rRNA". It matches the Rfam family "Bacterial small subunit ribosomal RNA", at positions 291 to 937 of the family's 1533-position model. Lineage: Eukaryota; Fungi; Ascomycota; Sordariomycetes; Hypocreales; Nectriaceae. The record is from RNAcentral.